Molecule: ribosomal RNA, 254 nt
Filed under: uncultured bacterium
Lineage: Bacteria
Description: partial 16S ribosomal RNA
Rfam family: Bacterial small subunit ribosomal RNA
Source: RNAcentral
UACGAGGGUUGCAAGCGUUAUCCGGCAUUAUUGGGCGUAAAGCGUUUGUAGGCGGGCGAGUGUGUUUAAAGUUAAAUCUUUAAGCUCAACUUUGAAAUUGCGUUAAAAACUGCUUGUCUUGAGUAUGGUAGGGGUAAAGGGAAUUCCCAGUGUAGCGGUGAAAUGCGUAGAUAUUGGGAAGAACACUAAACAGCGAAGGCAAUUUACUAGGCUAAUACUGACGCUGAGAAACGAAAGGUAAGGUAGCGAAACGG